Molecule: ribosomal RNA, 429 nt
Filed under: Verrucomicrobiota bacterium
Lineage: Bacteria; Pseudomonadati; Verrucomicrobiota
Description: Verrucomicrobia bacterium partial 16S ribosomal RNA
Rfam family: Bacterial small subunit ribosomal RNA
Source: RNAcentral
UAGGGAAUCUUCCGCAAUGGACGAAAGUCUGACGGAGCAACGCCGCGUGAGUGAAGAAGGAUUUCGGUUCGUAAAACUCUGUUGUUAGGGAAGAAAAAAUGUAUAGUAACUAUAUACAAAAGAGACGGUACCUAACCAGAAAGCCACGGCUAACUACGUGCCAGCAGCCGCGGUAAUACGUAGGUGGCGAGCGUUGUCCGGAAUUAUUGGGCGUAAAGCGCGCGCAGGUGGUUUAGAAAGUCUGAUGUGAAAGCCCACGGCUCAACCGUGGAGGGUCAUUGGAAACUAAUAAACUUGAGUGCAGGAGAGAAAAGUGGAAUUCCUAGUGUAGCGGUGAAAUGCGUAGAGAUUAGGAGGAACACCGGUGGCGAAAGCGGCUUUUUGGCCUGCAACUGACACUGAGGCGCGAAAGCGUGGGGAGCAAACAGG